GACGCGAUAGCACAGUGGUUAACUAGGCUUGACCUGAGAUUGUAAAGUCCUGAGUUCAAGUCCCGGUCGCGGCC
Molecule: non-coding RNA, 74 nt
Organism: Gymnothorax javanicus (giant moray)
Lineage: Eukaryota; Metazoa; Chordata; Actinopteri; Anguilliformes; Muraenidae
Source: the annotation of a GenBank genome assembly